Molecule: long non-coding RNA, 703 nt
Filed under: Lathyrus oleraceus (garden pea)
Lineage: Eukaryota; Viridiplantae; Streptophyta; Magnoliopsida; Fabales; Fabaceae
Description: Pisum sativum (pea) long non-coding RNA (PSAT_LNC024260)
Source: RNAcentral
UUGGAUCGAGGUUUUGAUCUUGUUUUGAAAUGGUUAUCGAAUGUUCAUUUUAAUUCUCGUAUUAACAGAUGAAUAAAGAAUGAAAGAAUAAAUAUUAUACAUUUCAUGGGAGAGGGAUACAUUUGUUAUGAAUGGGGGUUGUUCAUGGCAAACAAACAAUAUAAAUAUAUGCCUCAUACACCAUACAAGUAGGCCACAGUUAAUCAAACAAGUAAGGUAUAAACAAAUAUAUAAUCGAAUCAAAUAAUCAAAGAAUGAAAUAAUAAAGCAUUAAACAACGUAUGAGUGUAAGUGUAAGGGAAUCGGCUCAUUGUAAGAAAGCCCAAGAGUAAGCUAUGUGAGGUUGAUGGCGAUGCUUAAAAAGCAAUCGACUUACAAGGGUGUAAAAAAAUGGUCUCGAUAUUAAAUCGAGAAAGUAUGAUUUUUAUAGUUUAAAAAAAUGGUUUUGAACUAAAUUAAAAUACUACAACUAUGCAUUAUUAACAAAUGAAAUUAUAAUAAACAUAAAAAAACGAAAAUGUUAAUAAAAUACUACACUAAAAAAAUGCUAAAAGAGGAUAAAAUAAAAUAAUAAGUAAAAUGUACCAUACAUGAGUAUUGAACCCACCCCACUCAAGAAUACACACACUGCCCUCUCUCCACUAAGCCAUUCAUGGUUAUUUAUUAUUUUGAUGCUACCUUAAAUAUAUAAACCAAAAUAGAU